Ananas comosus (pineapple) is the source of this 1091-nucleotide long non-coding RNA. RefSeq lists it as uncharacterized. The transcript is spliced from 6 exons. Lineage: Eukaryota; Viridiplantae; Streptophyta; Magnoliopsida; Poales; Bromeliaceae. The record is from RefSeq and is a predicted model, not a curated record.
UUGCGCCGUUUUCGUGCCGCGCUCAAUCCUCGCUGGUUGCGGGUGUCGCAGAGCUUACGUGGGCAUGUGAGAGAGCAUUUUGGAGAGCUUUUCGCAGCUCUGGACCAGUAGCCCACUGGUUGGAAGCUUGAGAAGCUAAGAGAAAAGAGGUUUUGCUGCUGUAACGGGGUUGGGUAUGAUGGUUUAGCUUAGUUGGGACUGAGUUUAUGAUACAAGAAGGUUUGCGAAUUGAAUUCCACUUAAUUGGAGACCUUGGGGACUGAUUUAGAAAGUGUUCUAACCUGAGUUCGCAGCGAGAGUACGAUCGACUCUUGGACCGCUUUCAGCUGACUUAUGAGAGUUUCGGGAAGUUGAACUUGAGCAGAGUUGGGACUCCGUUGAGCCGAGUUUGGAGGCUUCUUUUGGUUGGAUUGAGCUAGUGAUAGCUUGCAGUGUCAAAGAUGCACCCCACGGCGACUGAUGCAACUGAGCCAGAAAGACGUGUACCCUCUGAAUCUAGCGAGGUGCGGGGAUUAACAGAACAGCUGGUUAUUCUAGUUGGAGUGGUGGAACGACAGGCGAAUGUGACGCUUCUUCAAGCCGAGGCUUUGCGCCGACAGGAUGAAGGAAUCCGACGGUUGGAGAACCUGUUGAUUCAACAGACGGCUGAUCUCCAGAAAUUCCAUGAAGUUCCAGAUCACACCCCAACAGGAAGAAAAUGUGUGGGAUGUACUGAAAAGGCAAAAGAGGCUACCCAGGGUGAUCAGUUACAAGUCGGGGAAUCAUCAAGAAAGGUAAAGAAGAAUCAAUCUCGAGGACGUGGUUCCCUUUCUAAGCAGAGAAUGUUGAAACGUCGAUCACCACGGCCUUGUGUAAUUUGUAGAGGUCCGCACGUUCCCCCAAAGUGUCCUCAACGGAAGGGAAAGUGUUUUGUAUGUGGUCAGGAAGGCCAUUUUCGAUCUGCGUGCCCAAGAAAUAAUAUAUUGACUAAGGUGUCUGCACCGACUUCGUUGCAAAAAGUACCCAGUGGAAGUACGCCGACGGGAUUGUAGAUUCAGAUGCGACGACGGGAAUGCUUACUAUAGGUAGUACAUUGUGCAAUGUUUCUAUAA